GACGAACGCUGGCGGCGUGCCUAAUGCAUGCAAGUCGAGCGACGAAUAGGUGCGGGUAACCAAGCCUAUUACGGAGCGGCGAACGGGUGAGUGACACGUGAGCAACCUGCCCCGCAGACCGGGAUAGCCCAGGGAAACUUGGAUUAAUACCGGAUACCCUCCUUUGAUCACAUGAUUUUGGGAGGAAAUGUUUUUGCGCUACGGGAUGGGCUCACGGCCUAUCAGCUUGUUGGGGGGUAACGCCUACCAGGCGCCGACGGGUAGCUGGUCUGAGAGGACGAUCAGCCACACUGGGACUGAGACACGGCCCAGACUCCUACGGGAGGCAGCAGCAGGGGAAUUUUGCGC
Molecule: ribosomal RNA, 348 nt
Filed under: uncultured bacterium
Lineage: Bacteria
Description: bacterial SSU rRNA
Rfam family: Bacterial small subunit ribosomal RNA
Source: RNAcentral